UAGAGGACAGUGGCGGACUGGUGAGUAACGCGUGAGGAACCUGCCUUUCAGAGGGGGACAACAGUUGGAAACGACUGCUAAUACCGCAUGACGCAUUUUGAUCGCAUGGUCGAAAUGCCAAAGAUUUAUCGCUGAAAGAUGGCCUCGCGUCUGAUUAGAUAGUUGGCGGGGUAACGGCCCACCAAGUCGACGAUCAGUAGCCGGACUGAGAGGUUGACCGGCCACAUUGGGACUGAGAUACGGCCCAGACUCCUACGGGAGGCAGCAGUGGGGAAUAUUGGGCAAUGGGCGCAAGCCUGACCCAGCAACGCCGCGUGAAGGAAGAAGGCUUUCGGGUUGUAAACUUCUUUUAAGUGGGAAGAGCAGAAGACGGUACCACUUGAACAAGCCACGGCUAACUACGUGCCAGCAGCCGCGGUAAUACGUGGGUGGCAAGCGUUGUCCGGAUUUACUGGGUGUAAAGGGCGUGCAGCCGGGCAUGCAAGUCAGAUGUGAAAUCUCAGGGCUUAACCCUGAAACUGUAUUUGAAACUGUAUGUCUUGAGUGCCGGAGAGGUAAUCGGAAUUCCUUGUGUAGCGGUGAAAUGCGUAGAUAUAAGGAAGAACACCAGUGGCGAAGGCGGAUUACUGGACGGUAAC
RNAcentral lists this ribosomal RNA (638 nucleotides) under uncultured bacterium. RNAcentral's name for it is "bacterial SSU rRNA". It matches the Rfam family "Bacterial small subunit ribosomal RNA", at positions 86 to 740 of the family's 1533-position model. The record is from RNAcentral.